RNAcentral lists this ribosomal RNA (253 nucleotides) under uncultured Lachnospiraceae bacterium. RNAcentral's name for it is "partial 16S ribosomal RNA". It matches the Rfam family "Bacterial small subunit ribosomal RNA", at positions 524 to 776 of the family's 1533-position model. Lineage: Bacteria; Bacillati; Bacillota; Clostridia; Lachnospirales; Lachnospiraceae. The record is from RNAcentral.
UACGUAGGGGGCAAGCGUUAUCCGGAUUUACUGGGUGUAAAGGGAGCGUAGACGGCCAGACAAGUCAGAAGUGAAAGCCCAGGGCUCAACCCUGGGACUGCUUUUGAAACUGCCGGGCUGGAGUGCAGGAGAGGAAAGUGGAAUUCCUAGUGUAGCGGUGGAAUGCGUAGAUAUUAGGAGGAACAUCAGUGGCGAAGGCGACUUUCUGGACUGUAACUGACGCUGAGGCACGAAAGUGUGGGGAGCAAACAGG